This is a long non-coding RNA of Erinaceus europaeus (western European hedgehog), 793 nucleotides long. RefSeq lists it as uncharacterized. The transcript has 3 exons. The record is from RefSeq and is a predicted model, not a curated record. NCBI's taxonomy places the organism in Eukaryota, Metazoa, Chordata, Mammalia, Eulipotyphla, Erinaceidae.
AGAUGUUAAAUAUGGAGUCACCAUCCCUGUCCUAAAUUUUUGAAUAGUUACACACUUAUACUGCUGUAAACUUUAAAGAUUCAUCCAACUAUUUCUAAUUGCAGAAUACUAAUCAUUUCUGUGUAUAGCAUAGGGAAUGUUUAUAGUCCCAGAGAAAAUUGGAACCUGUCAUUUUCCUGUUAGCUGAAAGUCAUCUAUGCUUUCCUUAGGAUACUGGUUUUUCUGCAAGUCUAAGAAAGAUACUGGAUACAAACCAAAAGCUAAACAGUGAAAAUGCUACUCUACAGCGAGACAUUGGCACAUUUCAAAAUGAGGUUUUCAUACUACAAGAGGAUAUUAACAGACGGAAAAGGAAAAUGAAUGAGACAAUAAAAUACAUGGAACAUCAAACAAUGUCAGUAAGAGAAGUGACAGAAGAGUUGCUAACAAAUGAUUCUGGUUGUUGUGAAAAGACCAGAAACAUAUUCCAAGAAAUCCAAGAGCUAGAGGAUGAAAUUGCUACCAUAAAGCUAUUACUGGAUAUAGUAAAACGUCAUUUUAAAUGAGGAUGCAAAUGCUGAAAAAAAGGACAGAUACAAAAUGUAAAGUAUUCCAAAUUUCACAGAAUUCAUUCACAACCUAAUGCUGAGGCCUGAUCUCAAGCAAGACACAGUAUUCAGUGAUAGAAUGGAAGCCUGGGGGUUGUAUUCAAAAAGCUCCAGGUUUGGCCCUGAUACGAUGUGUAAAGUAUGUGUAAAGUAUACUCUGCAGUUCAUUUAAAAUAAAGUCAAUAAUUUUUUUAUUGCUUCUUCAA